UGGCUUUUCAUAGAUCAUUUGUAAGG
This 26-nucleotide non-coding RNA is filed under the name Mus musculus (house mouse). Lineage: Eukaryota; Metazoa; Chordata; Mammalia; Rodentia; Muridae. The record is from RNAcentral.